This 246-nucleotide ribosomal RNA is filed under the name uncultured Acanthamoeba. RNAcentral's name for it is "partial 18S ribosomal RNA". It matches the Rfam family "Eukaryotic small subunit ribosomal RNA", at positions 97 to 279 of the family's 1831-position model. The record is from RNAcentral. Lineage: Eukaryota; Discosea; Longamoebia; Acanthamoebidae.
CUCAUUAAAUCAGUUAUAGUUUAUUUGAUGGUCUCUUUUGUCUUUUUUUACCUACUUGGAUAACCGUGGUAAUUCUGGAGCUAAUACAUGCGCAAGGUCCCGAGCGCGGGGGGCAGGGCUUCACGGUCCUGUUCUCGCAUGCGCAGAGGGAUGUAUUUAUUAGGUUAAAAACCAGCGGUAGGCCAGCAAUUGGUCUAUCACAACACUCCUGGUGAUUCAUAGUAACUCUUUCGGAUCGCAUUCAUG